This 128-nucleotide ribosomal RNA is filed under the name Diaphorina citri (Asian citrus psyllid). The record is from RNAcentral. Lineage: Eukaryota; Metazoa; Arthropoda; Insecta; Hemiptera; Psyllidae.
GCCAGCGGCGAUAGGAGCGUUUGGAGAAUACACCAGUGCCUAAUGCGUCCCUGAAGUUAAGCACCUUGAGCGCUGGGUUGGUAUCCGGAUGGGGUUUGACCAUCUGGACAAUCCGCGCGCUGCUGGCU